GACUUUAGUUUUUGUGGGAGUUGUAACUAAAAUUGGAAGAAUAAAACUACUCCUAAUGAAUGUCUCAAAGGGUAACUAUGAAAUGUAACUGGUGUGUGAAAGAUGUAUAAAUAUUGUUAGUAAACCUUUUAACUUUCUAUCUACCAAACCUUGAUAACAUAGCAGUCCAUCUUCUUAACAAUCAAUCAGUUAAUCGAUCAACAGGGACAUACACCGGGGGGCACGUCGCCUCACCCACCCUACGACACCAAGACUGGGGGUCCAUCCAGGCAAGUCUCCAUGCAGGCCCCCUUCCUAUCCUGAGCACCUUCUGGCAGGAUCUAUCAACUUCCUCAACCCAUGAACUCUGUGGGCAUCCCCUUGGCCCCCACCACUCAAUAUUGUCUCUGGUACUACCCAAUGAGUAGGGUCAGCAUCAAGGUAACAUGCCACAUCCCCGUAUAGCCAGAGUUGAUGUUGACUGACUAUGCAGGUAAUAUAUGUUAGAAUCAGUAUCAUGGAGCUUCUGGGUAACAUGCCACAUCCCCGUAUAGCCAGAGUUGAUGUUGACUGACUAUACAGGUAAUAUAUGCUGAAUCAGUAUCAUGGAGCUUCUGGGUAACAUGCCACAUCCCCGUAUAGCCAGAGUUGAUGUUGACUGACUAUGCAGGUAAUAUAUGUUAGAAUCAGUAUCAUGGAGCUUCUGGGUAACAUGCCACAUCCCUGUAUAGCCAGAGUUGAUGUUGACUGACUAUGCAGGUAAUAUAUGUUGAAUCAGUAUCAUGGAGCUUCUGGGUAACAUGCCACAUCCCUGUAUAGCCAGAGUUGAUGUUGACUGACUAUGCAGGUAAUAUAUGUUGAAUCAGUAUCAUGGAGCUUCUGGGUAACAUGCCACAUCCCCGUAUAGCCAGAGUUGAUGUUGACUGACUAUACAGGUAAUAUAUGUUGAAUCAGUAUCAUGGAGCUUCUGGGUAACAUGCCACAACCCUGUAUAGCCAGAGUUGAUGAUGACUGACUAUGCAGGUAAUAUAUGUUGAGUCAGUAUC
Molecule: long non-coding RNA, 1025 nt
Organism: Eriocheir sinensis (Chinese mitten crab)
Lineage: Eukaryota; Metazoa; Arthropoda; Malacostraca; Decapoda; Varunidae
Exons: 3
Source: RefSeq, a predicted model, not a curated record